Long non-coding RNA from Sciurus carolinensis (gray squirrel), 1767 nucleotides. RefSeq lists it as uncharacterized. Lineage: Eukaryota; Metazoa; Chordata; Mammalia; Rodentia; Sciuridae. The record is from RefSeq and is a predicted model, not a curated record. The transcript has 3 exons.
CUGGGUUGUCUUUGGUUUUCUUUCCUUUCUGCCUUAUAUCCUUGUUGGACCUCUGCUUCAGGGACAUAUUCCCAGAGGUGGGUGAAUGGUACUUUAGGGGAGAAAGUACAAACUGAGAAAAGCCCAGGAAGAGCUCUGUGCUAGUUAACGGUUAAACAACACUUAUGUACUGGACAGCGUGCUAAGUUCUCUUUGCAUUUUUUUCACAGCCUUAUGAGACAAGAAUUAUUCUCCUUCUCAUUUGUAUCCUGAGGAUGGGACACCUAGUUAUGGAGAAACCGAACUCUUUGUCCAUGCCUAUCCAGCCAUCAAGGAGGGGAGCUAGGAAUGGAACCCAGCUGUGGGGUCUGCUCCAAAGUUGAGGCUUUAGCUGCCAUGAAACCCCCUUCAGAGGCAAGCUCCUUCCCGCCCCCUGCAGAAGCAAGCCACUCAGUGACUUAUACAGUGGGGUGUGAGAUGGUACAACUCUCUGCCUCUGCCAGAGAUCGUAAUGAAAAGGUAUGCACCAGGAAUUGUGCCAAAAUGAGCCACCGGCAUCAUCUCAGUUAAUCCUCCACCAUUCCUGUGGUAGACGCCAUUGCCUCCACUUAACAGAUGAGAAAACCGAGAAUAGGAGAGAUUUGGUAACUUGCUCAAGAUUAUCCCGACAUGGGACAAGAGCAGAGGUGGUGUGACUUGAAAGCUGAUUCUUUUCACCUUCAUGAUGCCCCAAAUUUUGCUGCAGGCUGACUUUUCUGUUAAACAAACAAACAAGCAAACAAAAAUCGAUAGUAACUUCUGGGCAAGCCUCGACAGACCAGAGACAUGGAGUUGGAGAGGCAGAAAUGUUCUGGGCUGGGCUAGUGCACAAUGAAAAUAUGGGCCCUUCUCUGAGGUCAGAUCUAAGGAUUAAAUCUCUCCUCCUAUAAAUAAAUGUGUUGUAUGGGCACGAUGGAAUAUUUUCAGUCAUAAAAAAAUGAAAUGCUAUCCUCUGGGGCAAGGUGGGUGGAACUGGAGGACUUCAUGUUAAGUGAAAGGAGUCAGGUGCAGAAUGGCAAAUACCACGCGACCCCACUGAUUUGCAGAGGGUAAAAAGUAGAUCUCAAGGAAUCAGAGAGUUAGAAUAGUGGUCACUGGGGACUAGGAAGGGUAGAGGGGAGGGAAGAUAGGGGAUGCCAGAUAACAGGGGCCAAAAUAGUUAGAGAGGAACAACAGGUCCUACUGUCCUCUAGCACAGCAGGAUAAAUGGCGUCUACAGCAAUUUAUGAAAAAUUUCAAACUGACUGAAGUUUUCAACGCAUAAAAAUGAUAAAUGUUUUAGGAAAUGGAAAUGCUAAUUAUCCAGAUUUGAUCAUUAUGCAUUGUAUAUAUGCAUUAAAUUAUCACACUGUACUCCAUAAAUACAUACAAAUAUUAUGUGUCUAUUAAAAGAAAAAUCUCCCUCUUAACCCCUCCUUGGGAAUCUCAAGUGAGCUUAUAUCAGGCUUCUGCCACAGUUCUUCCAAGAAGAGGAUGGGAGGCUUGACCAAAGUCUUAUCUUUAAGGAUUGGGAAGGUUACUGGUCCCAGUAACCAGCUGUCAUCUAUCUCUGAGAGAGAAACAGCAAAUAUAGACUCUGACGACAGCAUGAGAGAUGCCAGUUAGCUCUACUGAAGUAGCUCGUUAAACACCCGACUGGUUUCAUCUGGACAGAUCAAAUUUUAAGUCCUGCCACUUCCUGGCUUUGACCUUGAGCAAGCUACUUAUUUAUUUAAGCUUCCAUCUGUUUAUCUGUAAAAUGGGGAUUUU